UCAUCGCCAUAGGGACACACGUACAAGGAAAUUGCUACCAAAUGCUGCCAAUGUGACGUCACUGGGAUGCUCGAAAGCUGAUUGGUCGCUGAGAUUCGAGUAAUGUAGUCAAUUCUGGCGCACCGGCGCAGUGUUUUCCGACCGUUGCGUGUUAUUACUUUGGUUGCUAUGCAAAGUUUUAAUAUGUUUGUAUAAUAAUAUAAACACAUUUUCAUGUGUUUGAAGGUCGCAAAAGCUUAACAUAAGUGGCAACCACACUUUGUAUUACGUUUCGUCUCAUAUAUCAUGAAGAACAACCAAGUAUUUCAAGGAAAGCUGAGGCGAGGGCGAGUAGGUCCCUGAGGAGGACCACUGCAAAGGAGGUCAAGGAGAUUCUGGGGGCAACCUGCGAGCAACCUCUAGACCAGCCAGCAGGGACCUCUGACAAUGCCGCUGCCGGUGUCGACGCUGGCAGCCAUGGCCGGCGCCGAGCUGACGAGUUCCAACCUGGAAGCUCAGCGCGAGGGGCUGGCAUUUGUUGCCGGCUUCGUGGCAUACAAGUGUCACCACGUCGACGCCACCCUCGGUAGCCGGUCUCCUGACUUCUCGGGCGCCGCUGGAGACACUGAACACCCUGCCGAACAGCUGAAUUGUGACGAUAAGCCGAGGCCAGCUGUUUGUUCUGUCACAAGCCUGGAUGGCCGCUGUGGAGGAGUUCGAGCGGAACUUCUGCCUGCUGAUGGGGGCAACUGCAGAUCAGGGGCCGCGAGUCAUAUAGCGUCUCAAGCUGUUCAUCGCCGUCAAGCAGCCUCAGCUCGGCACCCGCGUGUCCAGGAAGUUGGCGAGCACCCGUCUCCACCUCCCCCUUCGGUCCCUUAGCCUGACUGGACGAGGUCCGGCAGCUGAAAAGAGCCGAUAGAAAAGUUGGCCAUCAUGCAAGGAGCUCUAGGUGAGCUGGUAAACCGGCUCG
Amphibalanus amphitrite is the source of this 949-nucleotide long non-coding RNA. RefSeq lists it as uncharacterized. NCBI's taxonomy places the organism in Eukaryota, Metazoa, Arthropoda, Thecostraca, Balanomorpha, Balanidae. The record is from RefSeq and is a predicted model, not a curated record. The transcript has 3 exons.